UGGUGUUGAGUGGAAGUAGUUGAUAUGGAAAAUAUAUGCAUUUAAUGCAUUUCUUGUUGAUGGACAUUAUGGUGGUGAUGGCUUCCACAUGCUCUGAUGUGCAAGGAAUUUGACGCGUCUAAGUCUACUUGGUUGCACUUAAAUGGCCUUCUCAAAUUUAUCAUCAAUGGUUAUCUCAAAUGUGAGGUAUGAAGCCGAUUAAUUCAUCACGUAUUAUAAUAGAAACAUUUUGAGCUUCUUUAAUAAUUAUAACCUUCACGUCAAACCUUUUGUGUAGAAAUCUUAGAUUUUUUCUAACAACUUUUUGUCAAAUAUCUUUUCACCAAGAUCAAAGGAAUGGUAUGUAAUGUCACUUAGGUAAACAUUGAAUUCAUAAAUAUUUUCAUCAUCAUGCAUCUUCAAGUUUUCAAACUUUAUUGUAAGGAAUUGAAGUCUUAACAUACGAACUUUGGAGGUGCAUUCACAAAAACUUCAAAGAUUUCCCAAACAUCUUUAGCAUUAGUGUAAGUAUUAAUGAUCUUGAAGACAUUUUCGUCAACUACUAUAUAAAUAGCAUUAAGAACACAAGUGUUUCCAAGUGCAGUUUCAUCUUCGGCAAGAGUUUGAUCUUUUCGGGAUUCACAGAUUCUAAAUUAUCUUCACCUUUUAUCAUUGAAGGAGUCCAUUCAUUCAUGAUAGGUCUUGUUAUCCAUGGACUUAAGAAAAAUGGCCAUAUAAGUCUUCCAAUAAUCAUAAUUAGUAUCAUCAAUAAUCGGUGGUCGAUUAACAAAUCCUACUUCUUUCGAACAAAAUAGAUACCCUAGAAAACACCCAACCAGAUUAGGGUAUCUACUCUAGUGCCAAUUGAAGUUAUGUUCGAUCAAUGACAAUAUGUCACACACAAUGUUGAGAUAAUGUGAAACAAUAUGAUUUAAAAGGAGCAACAAACAAAUAAAAAAAUAACAAAAAUAAUUUUUAAUCCGGUUUGGUGCAACGUCGCCUAUGUUUUGAGGGCAGCAACCCAAUCAAAAGAAAUUUCUUAAUUCAGUAAUCAAUAGUACACGACGAUCGCAUACAAACUCUCAUAGUUCAUUGUUUUUUUUUCCUAAUACUACCCACAAAUUUAAAUCCAGUUUCCCCUUGAAUCUGAGACCACUCUCACUUUCACUCAAACACUCUCCCAACUAUUUUCAAGAUAACAAUUAUAUGUGACAUGAUAAAUCAGAAUUACAAUCAAAUAUUUUAUCCUUCUAACUUAAGAAAGACACUCAAAAAUUAUAAACAAAAUACAAAAGACUUACUAAAAUAAACUCUCCAACUGAAUAAACAUUCCCUUUAAAAGUGUGUUUUCAAAUAAGGAGAAUAAAUCUCUUUAUAUAGAGAGUACGUUCAAACAAAAACCCAUCAGGGUUUAAUAAAAUUCCAACCAAAUUAAAUAUUCAGCAAAUCAAAUCUA
This 1435-nucleotide long non-coding RNA is filed under the name Lathyrus oleraceus (garden pea). RNAcentral describes it as "Pisum sativum (pea) long non-coding RNA (PSAT_LNC032388)". Lineage: Eukaryota; Viridiplantae; Streptophyta; Magnoliopsida; Fabales; Fabaceae. The record is from RNAcentral.